Molecule: ribosomal RNA, 253 nt
Filed under: uncultured bacterium
Lineage: Bacteria
Description: partial 16S ribosomal RNA
Rfam family: Bacterial small subunit ribosomal RNA
Source: RNAcentral
UACGGAGGGCGCAAGCGUUAUCCGGAAUCACUGGGUUUAAAGGGUGCGUAGGCGGCGCAAUAAGUCAGAGGUGAAAGCCUGCAGCUCAACUGUAGAAUUGCCUUUGAUACUGCUGCGCUUGAAUCAGGUUGAGGUUGGCGGAAUGUGGCAUGUAGCGGUGAAAUGCAUAGAUAUGCCAUAGAACACCAAUUGCGAAGGCAGCUGACUGGGCCUGAAUUGACGCUGAGGAACGAAAGCGUGGUGAGCAAACAGG